This 771-nucleotide ribosomal RNA is filed under the name uncultured Neocallimastigales. RNAcentral describes it as "partial large subunit ribosomal RNA". It matches the Rfam family "Eukaryotic large subunit ribosomal RNA", at positions 24 to 635 of the family's 3401-position model. Lineage: Eukaryota; Fungi; Neocallimastigomycota; Neocallimastigomycetes; Neocallimastigales. The record is from RNAcentral.
GUAGUCUCGCACAGAUGCAUAUCAAUAAGCGGAGGAAAAGAAACUAACAAGGAUUCCCUCAGUAACGGCGAGUGAAGCGGGAAGAGCUCAAAUUUGAAAUCUUGAAAGGUCACCUUUCACGAAUUGUAGUUUAAAGAAGUGUUUUCUGUUACGAUCGUAAUAUAAGUUCUUUGGAAUAGGACAUCACAGAGGGUGAGAAUCCCGUCUAUGAUUGCGAUUUGUAGCUUUGUGAUACACUUUCAAAGAGUCGGGUUGUUUGGGAAUGCAGCCCAAAACGGGAGGUAAAUUUCAUCUAAGGCUAAAUAUUGGCGAGAGACCGAUAGCGAACAAGUACCGUGAGGGAAAGAUGAAAAGAACUUUGAAAAGAGAGUUAAACAGUACGUGAAAUUGUCAAAAGGGAAGCGUUUAACACCAGUGUUGUUUUCUGAAAAUCAACCUCUGUUAGCUUUAUGCAUGUUUGUUUAGACCUAAUCAGCUAUCUUGCAUGUUCUAUUGUUUGCAGUGGUGCACCUUUCAGUUCACAGGUCAACAUCAGUUUUUUUUACCGUAAAAAAGUUAAAGAAAGGUAGCUCAUGGCUCCGGUCGUGAGUGUUAUAGUCUUUUUCCUAUGCGGUAGGAGAGACUGAGGUCUGCAGUGUAGGCUAUUUGGCUAGAUACUCAGGUGCUAUGUGAUACCAUUUCAUAAACAACUUGUUGAUUAUGUUUUGUCUAUUGCAUACUCGCUUGUACUAUCAUACCUACGCUUAGGAUGUUGAAGAUGUAGCACAUCAU